AGAAAAAAAAUGUUGAAUGCUAAAAAGUGGAAAUUAAAUUGCAGAGCGUCAAAUCAAACUAGGCCUCCUUAAUUUUUCCCAAUUGAGUCCUUUAUAUAGUGUCCAUUAGGUCUUGGUAGUUGAGGAAUUCAAGGAACACUUGGUCUUGAGAGAGGAAAUCAUGGGAAAAGUUUGUUGGAGGAAAUAUAGGCACUUUUGGGUGCCU
RNAcentral lists this long non-coding RNA (205 nucleotides) under Lathyrus oleraceus (garden pea). RNAcentral's name for it is "Pisum sativum (pea) long non-coding RNA (PSAT_LNC012375)". Lineage: Eukaryota; Viridiplantae; Streptophyta; Magnoliopsida; Fabales; Fabaceae. The record is from RNAcentral.